UGGAGCCAGCGGGGUCCGGAGGCCAGGAGAGAGGGGAGGAGACUGCGAGACCCGGACAAGCGGGAAGCGGAGGAGGCAAGGGGCCCGCGGGGGCCAGCGGGUGACCAGUACGGCUAAGGGCCGGCGGAGUGGAGCAGGACCCAGGGCGGGCUGCGGAACCCGAGAGCAGAUGGUCUGUGCCCCCCAGGUGGUCAUUGACCCUAGGGUAGAGGGCCCUUCCCAUGACACCGAGGAGAAGGAGCAGGAGGAGGAUGGCCAGGAGCCGCAGGAGCCUGGAGGGAGCGUGCCUCACACCCAGGACCUGUAAGCCAUCCCAGCAAGCCUGUCGCCAGUGACAUCCGAGGCCGGGGAGGUCUCGACAUCUAAAGCAGCUGCGAGUGCAGGGCGCACCACCCCACCCAGAACAGCCUCCCGUACCUGGGCCAGCAGGCUCACCUGGAACCAGGAGGAGUACCAGUGACAGCACCUGGGGUUACUGCAAAGCCAGGAGCACUGGAUGCAUGAAGACUUGCAGCUGUGGCGCGAGAGCUUGCAGGAGCUGCUUGACCAGGGCCGUGCCAUCCGCGAGCAUCUGCAGACCUUGGUGCAGAGAUUGCUGCCUGCUGAGGCUCCAGCCCCUGUGGCUGCCCCAGCUGUCACUCUGCCUCUCACUCCUGAUCCUCCCCCCGUCCCACCCUCCAUACCCGCUGCCCCCCGGGGACACCGAGGCCCCCGCACCCACAGUGCUGGGAGACAGGUGGACCAGCAAGACCCACAGCCCUGAGCUUCUCCUCC
Molecule: non-coding RNA, 774 nt
Organism: Pelodiscus sinensis (Chinese soft-shelled turtle)
Lineage: Eukaryota; Metazoa; Chordata; Testudines; Trionychidae
Source: RefSeq, a predicted model, not a curated record